Sinocyclocheilus anshuiensis is the source of this 123-nucleotide long non-coding RNA. RefSeq lists it as uncharacterized. The record is from RefSeq and is a predicted model, not a curated record. The transcript has 3 exons. NCBI's taxonomy places the organism in Eukaryota, Metazoa, Chordata, Actinopteri, Cypriniformes, Cyprinidae.
CAUUGACAAUGCUGACCUAAGAUGCAAAAUGUUUGUCCUCUCUCUCUUCAGCGUUCCCACAUCUCAGAUCUCAAAUACAUAAAAUAUUACCCCUUUAUACAUAGUUUUUGAAGUAAAGAGUAA